This 2016-nucleotide long non-coding RNA is filed under the name Nicotiana tabacum (common tobacco). Its description in RNAcentral is "long non-coding RNA (NTAB_LNC016941)". The record is from RNAcentral. Lineage: Eukaryota; Viridiplantae; Streptophyta; Magnoliopsida; Solanales; Solanaceae.
UCUCUCUUCUCUCUCUUUUCUCCGCCGCCGCCAGAAAUCACCCACCAGUGGCGAACCACCUCCAAACACCUCCAAAUUCACACCAUGUAAUCUCCACAACCUCCCUCUUCCCAUAUCUCCAAAUUAAUUCCUUCAAAACACCCUCAAACUCUUUAAAUUUUAGAUCUAGGAAACUUUAGCCGCCACUUUUUGGCCCAAAUUCUUGAAACUCCGGCCAACACCACCCUACAACACAUACAUAAAUGGAUAGAGCUCCGCGAGACCUAUCUUUUCCUAUCCAUUUCACCCCCAAAAUCACCGUCGCCGCCGGCGAUCCACCUCACCGCCGACCCGCCACUACUGUCGCACUCCUCCUUCUCCUCCUCUGUUUUAGCCUAAUUCUGACCCAAGAACACUCAUUUCCUUUUGGUAUGACACCAAGUUCAUUGAAUUUGUUGUCUACCGAAAUGAAAUAAGCGUUUCAUGGUCGUGCAACCACUUCUUGGCAUCUCCGACGUCUUCUCGUGGCUUGAACAGCUUCAAGCACGUUCGUUAGGUAUAAUCGUCAUCUCUUUACUUAAUUUCUGAUUUUCUUUAGUAGUAAUAGGUUAGUUCUUGAUUUUAAUUUUAGUUCCUGAUUUUAAUUUUUCUGUUUUGGAUUUGUUGUUAAUUAGAGUUUCAAGUUAGAUUUAUUUAAUUAGUUAUCUAUUUAGUUUAGUUGUUUGUUAGACUAUUAUUAAUUAAACAUAAUAUUUAGUGUAUCAGUUUAAUCGUUUGCUUAGUUAAUCAAUUAUUUAGUUGUUGAACGUCGUCGUCCGAGUGUUAACGAUGCUCGUUCUGUUUUGAGCAUUAGUUUGUGAAUCAAACUGUUUGUUCUAUGUUUAGUUUGCACAAAUUAAUUUGUUUUAAUCUAGUUAGUCAGAGUUUUAGUUCCAUUUGAAAUCAUAUUUCUGUUUUGUCAAUUGUUAGUCGUCUGAGUUUGAUUUGGUUCAAAAUCAAGUAGUUUGGUGCUGAUGGUUAAAAUCUGAAGUUUAGGUUAUUUUAUCAUAAAAUUGUGUACUAGCAGCCUACCUUUUACUAGUAGGGUGGCUGAAAUGACUUUAUUUUUCUCCUUGCUUCUGACACAACAGAUUUCAGGCUGUCCUUUCACCUUUUGGAUAGAUUUUGAACAGUGUUUAGCACACAAAGUCAGUCAUUUGGACAAAUUUUGGUGAACCAAAAUCUUUCCAAAAAAAAUCUUACUUUAUUUGCCUAUUUAAAGGGUUGCUCUUCUCCUAUAAAGGGGACUCUCUUACACUUAGAAUACACAUCCUUACUUACUGAAAAAGGAUCACACACUCUAGGGCACAUAUUGAAAGAUCUUCUACACUCUGGAAAAAAAAAAAAGACACAACUUAAGAACUGAACAUCCAAAAGUGAGCUGAAAUUUGAGAGCGGUUGAGUGAGUAUUUAGAAAGCAAAAAUUGUCCCAAAAAAAGGGGGUUCCUAAGUCAGUUUACUUAGUUCUUUCCUUGUUAAAAGUUGCUGAAUUUUCUAUUUUAGUUCGUCCGUUUUUCUGGGUUGUUUUCUUGGGUCACUCAAGUUGUUGAUUUGUUGUUGUUUCCCCUGUUGUUCCUACUGCUUCUGUUGCUGAAUUUAUGCUAUUGUAACUGCUGUAUUUUCGAUUUUCAGGUAACCUUUCAAAUACUUGUAAUGCAGGUUCUUUUCUUUAAUAGAAGAUGAUGAAAAGAUGGGCCUUUUAGUUUGUUCCGGGCAAUUUUAUUCAAAGGAGUUUCUGAAUAUUUGAGUGCUAAGAUCUGCAUGCUCGUAAUCAUUUUAUUGUUGUAGUCGAGUAGUUUGGUUUAUUUCGUAGUUGGCAGAUCUGAGUAUCCAUGUUCUUUGAUAUUAGUUUGAACUAGUUAGAUCAUAGUGCACUUAAAAAAUGAGUGAGGCAAUAAUAUUUAGUAUUGAAAGAAGAGUAUUGGAUUGUUGACAUUGGUGAACGUGUGUUGUGUCAAACUUCAUGUCAAAAGGUUUCCGUUGCAUUUGUACCUGAGA